Molecule: long non-coding RNA, 1486 nt
Organism: Vidua macroura (Pin-tailed whydah)
Lineage: Eukaryota; Metazoa; Chordata; Aves; Passeriformes; Viduidae
Exons: 4
Source: RefSeq, a predicted model, not a curated record
ACAUGAUGACAUGGUCGCUUGGUGACCUUGAAGGUAUUUUGAGAGGUGAAGGGGACCCUGAGAAUGAUUGCUGAUUUAGUUUUAGGAAGAUUUUGGAAAAUAAAGACAGCAGAUGUUCCUGUGCCAGGAGGUGCAAAAUGGGGGAGGAAGCAGCUUGAGGCAGGUGUGCAUCUCCUGCUGGCUGCCCACACACCUGCACCCCAGCCUGGAGGGUCCUGCACAGCCCCAGGUGAUGCUGAACCAGGGGGAACUGCAGGGAAAUGCCAUCCAAACUGGUGAAAAACCUCCCUACAAGUCCUGUCCCCAGCAGGAGGAGGUGACAUACAGAAGCCAGAGUGGUGGAUGCCUGGAGAAGCUUGUAAACACUUUCAAGCCUAUUUGUGCUUCACUCUGAAGUUUAUUGGCCUGCUGUAAACAUCUUAACAAGAAAGUAACGUGAAAAUAAUUAUUCACCCAUAAUUUUGAAGAAGAAGCAGCUGAACUCUGUGCUGGUGAGCUCUACACAGCUACAGCUGUCAGUAACCCUUGCAACACUCCCAGCUUGAGCAGGGUUCCUGGGGACUGCCCAGCUUGUCCAUGAGAACAGAGGGACAGCACCAGGCAGGUUUUUGCAGCUCUGAAAGCCCAGAACAUCUUCCCUGUGCCACCUGGCCAGAGGCACCCCACAGCUGGAGCUGUGCCCUGAAGAACUUCCAGGGGGCAUCUCCCAGAUGUGCAGCUCAGACACAAGCUGUGCCAGCCAUGGAGCACACACUUUUCAUUUAAUUCUUGCGGGAGUGGGUUGGGUUGGAGGUAAAAGCUGCCUUUGCUGUCUCCUUCCUCACUGAUGGUUGCAUUGAGGCUGUUCAGGUGCCGGUGGCAAUGAGGGCAAGUGGUGUUUGGGGGGCUGCAGAGCCUCUUCUGCUGUCAGUAUCAUCUGAAGGUGCCGAGUCCCAGCCCAGCCAGGCUCCUUGGGAAAUUCCUGGGGAAGCUCCAGGCCUGAGAGUUUCCAAGAAGCUGACACAUUUGGAAGGCCUGGGGAAGGAAAGCUUCGUGUCCCCUGGAAGGCCCUGGCUGGGAAUCCUGCUGCUGACUCAGCGCUGUGGCAUGGCGAGCAUUGCUCCUGUCUCCAGAGACUCCCUCCAGCAAAAUCCUGGUGACGACAGGCUCAGAGAGAGCUGCUGCACCAAGGAUGAGAAGAGUGGCAGGAGAUCCAGCAGCAGACCCUCCUGCCCAGGACCAGGCACCUUCUGUCAUUUCCCUUCACCAAGGCCACUGUCACCAAGGCUGAAGGCUUCCUGCAGCUAUCUCAGGGAGCAGGCUGGACACUUUGACAUUCUUGUGGCUCCAAAGAGGAGACACAGGUCCUUGGAAAGCUGCAGGCCAGGGCACUCUGCAGCCUGUCCUGACAGUGGGGGCUAAGAGGAGGGGAAGGGCCAUCCAUUACAAAGGCAAUGGUCAGUGGAGAGUAAUUCUUUGCCACCAAAAAAAGACCUAAAUAAAUGAA